RNAcentral lists this long non-coding RNA (681 nucleotides) under Mus spicilegus (steppe mouse). RNAcentral describes it as "lncRNA (ENSMSIG00000012305.1)". Lineage: Eukaryota; Metazoa; Chordata; Mammalia; Rodentia; Muridae. The record is from RNAcentral.
CACAUGCGGUGCCACUUGGCUGCGUUUCCCACACGUUCAGGAUGAUUUCUGUGGCAAACCUUCCCAGUGAGUGGAAGGGAACCAGACGCCCUACCCCCACUCUUGGGAACCUGUGAUGAUGGGGCAAGUAAGCUCCGGGGUGGAGAGUAGAUCUACUUCACAGCCUUGGAUUUAUUUGAAAACUGGAAAUCACGGUGCUGAUGUAACCAGGGGAACGCAUCCAGUGUCCCAGGGCCUGGCCUCUCAUCCGUGAGUCUACACAACCAACUAAAGAUGUAAACUCCUUGAAGAAACUGGAAUAGAUCAGGACUCCUGUCUCCAGUCCCACACUGCCCUCACUGGAUUUUGUAUGAGAAAUCAGCUCUCCUGGGUCACCGAGGAACACCAAGUCUCCCUCUUCCAUCAUGUGACUCUGAAGAAUCCAUUACUGUCCCUUAAACCAAGAAGCCCCAGAGUAUCCGAAUGUCAAGAGUGGAACAAAACAGAAACAAUAAUCUGGGGGUGGAGGCCCAGUCCCAGCUCCAACUUAAAUGAAAGGAGAAUGGAAAAAUUGUGAUGGUGUCCAGCUUGGAAACUACAAGUGGAAAAGCUCUGCAAGCUGAUGAUAAGAGUCAACAAAGAACACCACAGACUACUUUCCCUGAUGGAAAUAAAUGCAAAACUUUUAAUAAAAUAUGUGCA